CGGCCGCGAUGGCCAGCGCCACCAAGGGGUAAGGCUUCCGUGCCAGGUCCCGGAAGCCCGUGCGGGCUGCGGCAGGUUCUGUUCCUGCCGCCGCCGG
RNAcentral lists this transfer RNA (97 nucleotides) under Arthrobacter sp. StoSoilB19. RNAcentral's name for it is "tRNA-His". RNAcentral also lists the same sequence under 1 other name. Lineage: Bacteria; Bacillati; Actinomycetota; Actinomycetes; Micrococcales; Micrococcaceae. The record is from RNAcentral.